UGGGGAAUAUUGGACAAUGGGCGAAAGCCUGAUCCAGCCAUGCCGCGUGUGUGAAGAAGGUCUUCGGAUUGUAAAGCACUUUAAGUUGGGAGGAAGGGCAGUAAGCGAAUACCUAGCUGUUUUGACGUUACCGACAGAAUAAGCACCGGCUAACUCUGUGCCAGCAGCCGCGGUAAUACAGAGGGUGCAAGCGUUAAUCGGAAUUACUGGGCGUAAAGCGCGCGUAGGUGGUUCGUUAAGUUGAAUGUGAAAGCCCCGGGCUCAACCUGGGAACUGCAUCCAAAACUGGCGAGCUAGAGUAGGGCAGAGGGUGGUGGAAUUUCCUGUGUAGCGGUGAAAUGCGUAGAUAUAGGAAGGAACACCAGUGGCGAAGGCGACCACCUGGGCUCAUACUGACACUGAGGUGCGAAAGCGUGGGGAGCAAACAGG
RNAcentral lists this ribosomal RNA (429 nucleotides) under Pseudomonadota bacterium. RNAcentral's name for it is "Proteobacteria bacterium partial 16S ribosomal RNA". It matches the Rfam family "Bacterial small subunit ribosomal RNA", at positions 355 to 776 of the family's 1533-position model. Lineage: Bacteria; Pseudomonadati; Pseudomonadota. The record is from RNAcentral.